This is a long non-coding RNA of Pteropus alecto (black flying fox), 623 nucleotides long. RefSeq lists it as uncharacterized. The transcript has 2 exons. Lineage: Eukaryota; Metazoa; Chordata; Mammalia; Chiroptera; Pteropodidae. The record is from RefSeq and is a predicted model, not a curated record.
CUACUGUUCACCUCCUGCUGUACAGCCCAGUUCCUAACAGGGCACGGACUGGUCCUGGUCCACAGCCUGGGGGUUGGGGACCUCUGGACAGGAUAUAGAUGGAGCACCAACAGCACCCAUUACAGGUAUAUCCCCAUUUUACAGAUGAAGAAACUGAGGUGCAGAGAAGCGAAGUGACUCACCCGGGGUCUGGACAUGUUACUGAGAGCUGGUACAUGAAGCUAGGAAUUUGGGACCCAGAUAAGCAGCCUCCAGAUCAUCUCCUUUGCCACCUGGCAUGCAAGAGGCCCAAUCAAUAUUUGUGAACUAAAUGAAGAAAUGAAUGAUUUAGUGUCUGACUCAUUUCCUGAUCAGGCAACCCAUCUUUCAUUCCUGCCACCUAGAGCCAAAGGAGAAAACAGAGACAUCUUUUCAUGUUUUUCCAGAGACUCAAAGAAUUUGAUGUCUUAUUGUUCUUGGUAACUUCAUAAAGUCUUAACAUCCCUUGAUUAUUGAACACUUUUGUGUCUGCUAAAUUGUUUGAAACACAGAAUCCCGUUCUCUAUAUUGACUUCAUAAUAUAAGAGAUGUGUCCAACUGGUAAAAAGAAAUGUUAAAAGAAUAAAAUGCUCAGUGGUGCAGUU